This 75-nucleotide transfer RNA is filed under the name Marmota monax (woodchuck). RNAcentral's name for it is "tRNA.Ala". Lineage: Eukaryota; Metazoa; Chordata; Mammalia; Rodentia; Sciuridae. The record is from RNAcentral.
GGGGUUGUGGCUCAGUGGUAGAGUACUUACUUGCCUGGCAUGUGUGAGGCCCUGGGUUCAAUCCUCAGCACCACA